ACAAAGGCUCUUUUAAGAGCCACUCCCUCCUCCAAAGAGAACUGG
RNAcentral lists this non-coding RNA (45 nucleotides) under Marmota monax (woodchuck). It matches the Rfam family "Histone 3' UTR stem-loop". Rfam says of the family: The mRNAs of metazoan histone genes lack a poly-A tail. 3' end processing occurs at a site between a highly conserved stem-loop (modelled by this family) and a purine rich region around 20 nts downstream (the histone downstream element, or HDE). Lineage: Eukaryota; Metazoa; Chordata; Mammalia; Rodentia; Sciuridae. The record is from RNAcentral.